UUGGGAGAGUUUUUGGGAGAGCAAGCUUCCAAGUUUGUUUAGCCCUUUUUUUAACUUGUAUUCUUUUAAAUUUUGCUGUACUUUGCUUUGUGCUAAAUUUACUUUUUUAAGUUUGGCUUUUUGCUUUGAUAGACAUGUAACCAAACUGUAAAUUCUAGAUUGUUUUUGGUUGAAUUAAAACCACUUCUAUUGAUUUGAACUGUUUUUGUAGAGAGUAGAGAGGAGUAGAGAGGAGUCAAGAACACAGACAGCCAGACUAAGGAUUGCUGCAGCCGUCUGGUAGACAAUACUGGAGCAUACAGGAACGGAUCACCAGACUUCCCUGUAUCCCCCAGGCCAUGGCAACCCCCACUUGAAGGCGGGAAAUGUUCAUUUCCGUAAUAACUUGCACUGGUCGACAAGACAACCUGGUAUCAGCAGCUGAGAGGUAAAAACUUUUAUUAACGAAAUAUACAUCUUAUACAUACAAAGCAUAGACAUAUUAUAGGAGACACAACAUACAUGACACACACCAGAGACAGUACAUACAUUAUUUGCCGUAAAUAAAUGAAGAGACUUGAAAUGUGUUUGUUUGUCAUGGUGACAUACUGACAAAGACACUAUGACUACAUGUUUACAUUCUCUUCACUCUUUGGUGCUGACUCUGUGGUCACCAUAGCCUUAGAGCAGACCCUUUGUCUGACACUUUAUUGGAAGAUGCGUUUAUGAUUUUUCUCUAUUUAUUUGUCUGACAUUUUUCAGUAUCCAAUAGUUUCUGAUUGAACAGAAACCCAAUCCUCAAACUUACUUAAAAUAGUUGUGGUUUCAUAUGUUCACUAACAGGUUCUGGAAAAGCGGAGGAGAUAACAAAAGAUAGAGGGAAUCCUCCGCAACAGCGAGAUCAACUUAAGCGCAUGCACAAACAACAGUAUAGAGGCAGAAACUAAAACAAGAGAAAAGUGGCCAACAAGGGAGCACAAUCUUUUCUAUUCGAUUAUGUAUUCUUAUUCAUUCUGUAUGCCAGCCAAUUAGCUAAUUAGAAAGAAUGCCAAAUUAGCUAUUGUUUAAAAAAAAAAUCCCAAAACAAUUUUGUCUUACAAUGGAAAUACCAUACCCUUUGGACAUCAAGAAAAAGGAUAAAAAAGAUUUUAAAGAGAUGAUACUGCAUAAGAACCCUGAAUCUAUAUAUGCUGAUUUCUCAGACAAAAGUGGAAUGAUGACCAACCUGAUUUUUUACACAAAUUGUACUACAGUUUGGGAAGAUACCAUCUUUAAGUCCUUCAACUUAAUGAAAAAAAGAGGUAUUAGCAAAGGCAUUCAAAUAACUAUAUUUAACAGUGAAGAUUGUAGGCCUAAAUCUAAAUUAAUAAACAUAAAUCUUUAUGAUAGCGGAAUGGUCUUAAUUCAAGGGAAAGAAACAUGUCUUCAGGAUUUUGAACGCAUAUUUGAAUCAUUGAAACAAAACAAAGAAAAAGCAGAACUCAUUCCAAAAGGUGAUGAGUCUGGAGAAAAGAAGGAAAAGGUGGAAGCCAAGGUGGAGACGAACCCCCCUUCUCACUAAUCAGACCCUUAAACUGGGCUUGACAUGGGUAUUCUCGAGGUGUGACCCCUGUGCAAAAUUGUUAAUGACGUUCCACUUAAGAUGUGUUUUUGUUGCACUGUUCUAUGUUAUAUUCUCUUUCACCUGGCCUAAGGGCAUCGGAAGCAGUACUUAGCAGUUCAUUACUUCUUAUGAUACUGUAACUGCGAGUUUGUCUCUUCUCUGCACUUUGUAUUUGAAUUUGAGAUCAACUGUACCGUGCACUAAAGUCAGAAGUCAAAGUAAAGUAAGUUAUUAAACAAGUGCACAGUAUACCACAAGGUCAUUCAGAACAAUGAAAUCCUUAGGACAUGGCAAGCAACAGCUACGUAGUACGUAGUAGACAUAUAAAAUAUAUAAUAGUUUAAAACACUAGAAGGAAAGAAAUAUAUAAAUUCUAUAUAUAUAUAAAUUAUAGCAGUAAAACAAAGGCAAGAAUCACUAAACUACCAGUAAAGCACUAGCAGAAAAAAUUGCAGCACUGUUAUUGAAAUGUUAUCGUUGUACUAUGGUUGUUGUAAUUAAGUAACUGAGAUGUUGUUAUUGCACUAUCAUGCCUGGUAGCUGAGAUGUGCUCACUGGAAUUUCUGCUUUACUUUCUAAAUGCACUAUUUGUAUAUCUCUUUAAAUUACUGCAAAUGUAAAGAAUUAAAGUGUUUCUCCUGGCGCAUAUAGAUUAUUAGGGCCAUUCCACCGAUUGGGUGACAUUUGCCUGUAGUAACUUUUAAAGAAUUAACUUAAUUUGUUAUAUUUUUUCAACACUGAAUCUAAUAACACACAUAUUUCACUGUUCAAAAUGUAUAUUGGUCAAUCUUGGGUAACAUUAUUUAAUUUUUGAGUGUGACUUUGUGUAUCAUUUUCAUCAUAUAAGUAACAGGAAUGAUUGUAACAGGACUGAGAUUUUAGCAUAGAAUUAGCAUAUAUACAUGAAAUAUAGCCACAUGGCAUGCAUGCUAAUAGCAUGAGGAUACUGAGCAAAUUCUAGUGAUUUAUCAAAAAUGUAUAUAUUUAAAAUAAACAAAUAACAUCUAACAAUAAAUUUAAAUUUUGGCUGCUCGCAAUGUUUGGGGCUAUCUCGUUGUUAUGAUCAGUGACUUUGUAAAGCUCUCUUGGAAGUCGCUUUGGAUAAAAGCGUCUGCU
Molecule: long non-coding RNA, 2698 nt
Organism: Osmerus eperlanus (European smelt)
Lineage: Eukaryota; Metazoa; Chordata; Actinopteri; Osmeriformes; Osmeridae
Exons: 3
Source: RefSeq, a predicted model, not a curated record